UGCGCAGGCGGCCAAGUGUGUGAGGCGUGAAAGCCUGGAGCUCAACUCCAGAAUUGCACCUCAAACUACAUGGCUAGAGCAUUGGAGAGGGUAGCAGAAUUCACGGUGUAGCAGUGAAAUGCGUAGAUAUCGUGAGGAAUACCAGAGGCGAAGGCGGCUACCUGGACAAUUGCUGACGCUCAGGCACGAAAGCGUGGGGAGCAAAAGGGAUUAGAUACCCCUGUAGUCCACGCCCUAAACGGUGCACACUAGGUCUUGGAGGAUUCGACCCCUUCACGGGCCCAAGCUAACGCGUUAAGUGUGCCGCCUGAGGACUACGGCCGCAAGGACUAAA
Molecule: ribosomal RNA, 334 nt
Filed under: uncultured bacterium
Lineage: Bacteria
Description: bacterial SSU rRNA
Rfam family: Bacterial small subunit ribosomal RNA
Source: RNAcentral